GGGAAUGUAGCUCAAUGGCAGAGCACAUGCUUAGCAUGCAUGCUGUUCCCA
RNAcentral lists this transfer RNA (51 nucleotides) under Neotoma lepida (desert woodrat). The record is from Rfam by way of RNAcentral. Lineage: Eukaryota; Metazoa; Chordata; Mammalia; Rodentia; Cricetidae.